GACGAACGCUGGCGGCGUGCUUAACACAUGCAAGUCGAACGGAAAGGCCCUGCUUUUGUGGGGUGCUCGAGUGGCGAACGGGUGAGUAACACGUGAGUAACCUGCCCUUGACUUUGGGAUAACUUCAGGAAACUGGGGCUAAUACCGGAUAGGAGCUCCUGCUGCAUGGUGGGGGUUGGAAAGUUUCGGCGGUUGGGGAUGGACUCGCGGCUUAUCAGCUUGUUGGUGGGGGAGUGGCUUACCAAGGCUUUGACGGGUAGCCGGCCUGAGAGCGUGACCGGCCACAUUGGGACUGAGAGACGGCCCAGACUCCUACGUGAGGCAGCAGUGGGGAAUAUUGCACAAUGGGCGGAAGCCUGAUGCAGCAACGCCGCGUGCGGGAUGACGGCCUUUGGGUUGUAAACCGCUUUCGCCUGUGACGAAGCGUGAGUGACGGUAAUGGGUAAAGAAGCACCGGCUAACUACGUG
This 468-nucleotide ribosomal RNA is filed under the name uncultured bacterium. RNAcentral's name for it is "partial 16S ribosomal RNA". It matches the Rfam family "Bacterial small subunit ribosomal RNA", at positions 28 to 507 of the family's 1533-position model. The record is from RNAcentral.